This 85-nucleotide transfer RNA is filed under the name Felis catus (domestic cat). It matches the Rfam family "tRNA". Rfam says of the family: Transfer RNA (tRNA) molecules are approximately 80 nucleotides in length. Their secondary structure includes four short double-helical elements and three loops (D, anti-codon, and T loops). Lineage: Eukaryota; Metazoa; Chordata; Mammalia; Carnivora; Felidae. The record is from Rfam by way of RNAcentral.
GCCUGGGUGGCUCAGUUGGUUGAGCGUCUGACUUUGGCUCAGGUCAUGAUCUCACAGUUUGUGGGUUCGAGCCCCGCGUCAGGCU